UGUGUCGUAUGGUGAGGAGAGAGACUGGAACACAGUGUGUCGUAUGGUGAGGAGAGGGACCAGAACACAGUGUGUUGUAUGGUGAGGAGAGGAGAGGGACCAGAACACAGUGUGUCGUAUGGUGAGGAGAGGAGAGAGACCAGAACACAGUGUGUCGUAUGGUGAGGAGAGGGACCGGAACACAGUGUGUCGUAUGGUGAGGAGAGGGACCAGAACACAGCGUGUCGUAUGGUGAGGAGAGGGACCAGAACACAGUGUGUUGUAUGGAGAGGAGAGGAGAGGGACCAGAACACAGUGUGUCGUAUGGUGAGGAGAGGGACCGGAACACAGUG
This is a long non-coding RNA of Oncorhynchus tshawytscha (Chinook salmon), 332 nucleotides long. Lineage: Eukaryota; Metazoa; Chordata; Actinopteri; Salmoniformes; Salmonidae. The record is from Ensembl.